UAGGGAAUAUUGGGCAAUGGGCGAAAGCCUGACCCAGCCAUGCCGCGUGAGCGAUGACGGUCCUCGAGAUUGUAAAGCUCUUUUCUGAGGAAAGAACAUCCCGGGUAGGAAAUGCCCCGGGCUUGACGGUACCUCAGGAAUAAGGAACGGCUAACUCCGUGCCAGCAGCCGCGGUAAUACGGAGGUUCCAAGCGUUGUUCGGAAUUACUGGGCGUAAAGGGAGCGCAGGCGGACAAGUCAGUCUAAAGUGAAAUCCCGGGGCUUAACCUCGGACUUGCUUCGGAUACUGCUUGUCUUGAGUUCGUGAUAGGAAGAUGGAAUUCAGGGUGUAGCGGUGAAAUGCACAGAUAUCCUGAGGAACACCGGUGGCGAAAGCGGUCUUCUGGCGCGAAACUGACGCUGAGGCUCGAAAGCGUGGGUAGCAAACG
RNAcentral lists this ribosomal RNA (428 nucleotides) under uncultured prokaryote. RNAcentral describes it as "bacterial SSU rRNA". It matches the Rfam family "Bacterial small subunit ribosomal RNA", at positions 355 to 774 of the family's 1533-position model. The record is from RNAcentral.